ACUGUAUAAAAAAAUAAAGUGAGUUUUUAAAUAUAUUUUUCCUGUUCAGUAGGAGUGGAGUGUAAGAAACCGAGCUUCAGUGACUCCGACCUCCUGAUCCAAACUCGUCAGGAUGAGGUUCAGGUGAAGGACAUGAUGGUCUCCUGUCCAGUGUGUGAGAUGGUGGUGAACAAAGUGCUGCAUUUAAUCCAACAUGAACUCUCGGGGAACAGCAUCGACGCAGCGCUCAACCUGGUCUGCACUAAACUCCUGUUCAAAACCCCCUGUAUACACUUCAUCAACAAAUACAGACACAAGCUGAUUCACGCCAUCUCGUCUGGGAAGAACGCUCACGGGGCCUGCAAGCAUCUGCACUUCUGUAAAUGAACCGAGCACGAAAUUCAGUUUCUGCCUCUUGUGAGUGGUUUUAGGUUUUGCAAUCAGGCUAAAAUUGUUUGUAAAAAUUAAAUA
Trichomycterus rosablanca is the source of this 450-nucleotide long non-coding RNA. RefSeq lists it as uncharacterized. NCBI's taxonomy places the organism in Eukaryota, Metazoa, Chordata, Actinopteri, Siluriformes, Trichomycteridae. The record is from RefSeq and is a predicted model, not a curated record. The transcript is spliced from 3 exons.